GGCUCGGGCCACGAGGCGCGUGUGCGCAAUAUCAGGUUUCCACGUCCACUGGCACAGUGGUUCGACG
Molecule: non-coding RNA, 67 nt
Organism: Drosophila ficusphila
Lineage: Eukaryota; Metazoa; Arthropoda; Insecta; Diptera; Drosophilidae
Source: Rfam